Molecule: non-coding RNA, 21 nt
Filed under: Arabidopsis thaliana (thale cress)
Lineage: Eukaryota; Viridiplantae; Streptophyta; Magnoliopsida; Brassicales; Brassicaceae
Also listed under: 3 other names
Source: RNAcentral
GCAAUAACAGGUCUGUGAUGC